GCUUGAUUGGCUCAGUCAGUUAAGCAUCCGACUUCGGCUCAGGUCAUGAUCUCAUGGUUCGUGAGUUUGAUCCCCACAUCAGGCU
Non-coding RNA from Felis catus (domestic cat), 85 nucleotides. NCBI's taxonomy places the organism in Eukaryota, Metazoa, Chordata, Mammalia, Carnivora, Felidae. The record is from Rfam.